SSAGGGUGAUGAGAUUGGAUGAGUAUAAGAGGAAAAUUAAAGUUUUUGGCGGUUAGAUUUUAAAUUAGAGGGACUUGUCAGUUGAUUGAUUUAGCACACAUAUUUUGACUUUAUAGUGUUUAUUUACUUCCGUUAUUAAAGGAGAUUUGGACAUUUAUAAUUAUAUUGGGUAAGUAAAAAAUUUCAGGUCAAGGUAUAGUUAUAUAGAGGGAUGAUUAGUUAUUAUGGGGAAUGGAUAGAUGAAAGCGAAUGUUUGAUGGAAUUGAAUUUAAUUGUAAUUUUUCUUAGUGAUGGGAGAUGAAACUAAUGAUAUA
RNAcentral lists this ribosomal RNA (314 nucleotides) under Pseudoepedanus dolensis. RNAcentral's name for it is "partial 12S ribosomal RNA". Lineage: Eukaryota; Metazoa; Arthropoda; Arachnida; Opiliones; Epedanidae. The record is from RNAcentral.